This 1082-nucleotide ribosomal RNA is filed under the name Nakaseomyces glabratus. RNAcentral's name for it is "eukaryotic LSU rRNA". The stretch from base 781 to 1082 matches the Rfam family "Eukaryotic large subunit ribosomal RNA", at positions 1 to 300 of the family's 3401-position model. Lineage: Eukaryota; Fungi; Ascomycota; Saccharomycetes; Saccharomycetales; Saccharomycetaceae. The record is from RNAcentral.
UUUGUCUUGAGCUCGGAGAGAGACAUCUCUGGGGAGGACCAGUGUAGACACUCAGGAGGCUCCUAAAAUAUUUUCUCUGCUGUGAAUGCUAUUUCUCCUGCCUGCGCUUAAGUGCGCGGUUGGUGGGUGUUCUGCAGUGGGGGGAGGGAGCCGACAAAGACCUGGGAGUGUGCGUGGAUCUCUCUAUUCCAAAGGAGGUGUUUUAUCACACGACUCGACACUUUCUAAUUACUACACACAGUGGAGUUUACUUUACUACUAUUCUUUUGUUCGUUGGGGGAAAGCUCUCUUUCGGGGGGGAGUUCUCCCAGUGGAUGCAAACACAAACAAAUAUUUUUUUAAACUAAUUCAGUCAACACAAGAUUUCUUUUAGUAGAAAACAACUUCAAAACUUUCAACAAUGGAUCUCUUGGUUCUCGCAUCGAUGAAGAACGCAGCGAAAUGCGAUACGUAAUGUGAAUUGCAGAAUUCCGUGAAUCAUCGAAUCUUUGAACGCACAUUGCGCCCUCUGGUAUUCCGGGGGGCAUGCCUGUUUGAGCGUCAUUUCCUUCUCAAACACGUUGUGUUUGGUAGUGAGUGAUACUCUCGUUUUUGAGUUAACUUGAAAUUGUAGGCCAUAUCAGUAUGUGGGACACGAGCGCAAGCUUCUCUAUUAAUCUGCUGCUCGUUUGCGCGAGCGGCGGGGGUUAAUACUGUAUUAGGUUUUACCAACUCGGUGUUGAUCUAGGGAGGGAUAAGUGAGUGUUUUGUGCGUGCUGGGCAGACAGACGUCUUUAAGUUUGACCUCAAAUCAGGUAGGGUUACCCGCUGAACUUAAGCAUAUCAAUAAGCGGAGGAAAAGAAACCAACUGGGAUUGCCUUAGUAACGGCGAGUGAAGCGGCAAAAGCUCAAAUUUGAAAUCUGGUACCUUUGGUGCCCGAGUUGUAAUUUGGAGAGUACCACUUUGGGACUGUACUUUGCCUAUGUUCCUUGGAACAGGACGUCAUGGAGGGUGAGAAUCCCGUGUGGCGAGGGUGUCAGUUCUUUGUAAAGGGUGCUCGAAGAGUCGAGUUGUUUGGGAAUGCAGCUCUAAGUGGGUGGU